UAGAAUGUGGUAUAAAAGAAGAACAAAGAGUUUUGAGUUCUUGGGUAUAGGUUCGAGUCCUAUUGUCCUAG
This 71-nucleotide transfer RNA is filed under the name Sarcophilus harrisii (Tasmanian devil). It matches the Rfam family "tRNA". Rfam says of the family: Transfer RNA (tRNA) molecules are approximately 80 nucleotides in length. Their secondary structure includes four short double-helical elements and three loops (D, anti-codon, and T loops). The record is from Rfam by way of RNAcentral. Lineage: Eukaryota; Metazoa; Chordata; Mammalia; Dasyuromorphia; Dasyuridae.